UACGUAGGGUGCGAGCGUUAAUCGGAAUUACUGGGCGUAAAGCGUGCGCAGGCGGUUUUCCAAGACAGAUGUGAAAUCCCCGGGCUUAACCUGGGAACUGCAUUGGUGACUGGCAGGCUUUGAGUGUGGCAGAGGGAGGUAGAAUUCCACGUGUAGCAGUGAAAUGCGUAGAGAUGUGGAGGAAUACCGAUGGCGAAGGCAGCCUCCUGGGCCAACACUGACGCUCAUGCACGAAAGCGUGGGGAGCAAACAGG
RNAcentral lists this ribosomal RNA (254 nucleotides) under uncultured bacterium. RNAcentral's name for it is "partial 16S ribosomal RNA". It matches the Rfam family "Bacterial small subunit ribosomal RNA", at positions 524 to 776 of the family's 1533-position model. The record is from RNAcentral.